CUGAACUUAAGCAUAUCAAU
Molecule: ribosomal RNA, 20 nt
Filed under: Rhizoctonia sp. AG-G
Lineage: Eukaryota; Fungi; Basidiomycota; Agaricomycetes; Cantharellales; Ceratobasidiaceae
Description: partial 28S ribosomal RNA
Source: RNAcentral